UUAACUUACUGAUCAUACUUAACUUAGUUGGCUAAGUCUUUGAUUUUAUUUCUAAAAAAUUGAACAAAAUAGGUAGCUUGAUUCAGAGGAUUAGGCACAUUUUACCUAGUUUUCUUUUUGUGGAAUACUGAUUUGUUGUCAUUUGGAUGCAGUGUACGUUGCCGGUUAACGUGUAGGCAUGAAGAUGAAAUGAGGUGAAACCGUUUUGGCGUGAAAUUGACGCGAAAACGAAUGAAUUGGGCCAGUGUUU
This 250-nucleotide long non-coding RNA is filed under the name Ananas comosus (pineapple). Its description in RNAcentral is "long non-coding RNA (ACOM_LNC004927)". Lineage: Eukaryota; Viridiplantae; Streptophyta; Magnoliopsida; Poales; Bromeliaceae. The record is from RNAcentral.